RNAcentral lists this ribosomal RNA (468 nucleotides) under uncultured bacterium. RNAcentral's name for it is "partial 16S ribosomal RNA". It matches the Rfam family "Bacterial small subunit ribosomal RNA", at positions 28 to 507 of the family's 1533-position model. The record is from RNAcentral.
GACGAACGCUGGCGGCGUGCUUAACACAUGCAAGUCGAACGGAAAGGCCCUGCUUUUGUGGGGUGCUCGAGUGGCGAACGGGUGAGUAACACGUGAGUAACCUGCCCUUGACUUUGGGAUAACUUCAGGAAACUGGGGCUAAUACCGGAUAGGAGCUCCUGCUGCAUGGUGGGGGUUGGAAAGUUUCGGCGGUUGGGGAUGGACUCGCGGCUUAUCAGCUUGUUGGUGGGGUAGUGGCUUACCAAGGCCUUGACGGGUAGCCGGCCUGAGAGGGCGACCGGCCACAUUGGGACUGAGAUACGGCCCAGACUCCUACGGGAGGCAGCAGUGGGGAAUAUUGCACAAUGGGCGGAAGCCUGACGCAGCAACGCCGCGUGCGGGAUGACGGCCUUCGGGUUGUAAACCGCUUUCGCCUGUGACGAAGCGUGAGUGACGGUAAUGGGUAAAGAAGCACCAGCUAACUACGUG